GCACGAGUGGCGGAAUGGUAGACGCGCAGGAUUUAGGUUCCUGUGUCCUAAGACGUGAGGGUUCGAGUCCCUUCCCGUGCA
This 81-nucleotide transfer RNA is filed under the name Aeriscardovia sp. RNAcentral describes it as "tRNA-Leu". It matches the Rfam family "tRNA". From Rfam's summary of the family: Transfer RNA (tRNA) molecules are approximately 80 nucleotides in length. Their secondary structure includes four short double-helical elements and three loops (D, anti-codon, and T loops). Further hydrogen bonds mediate the characteristic L-shaped molecular structure. tRNAs have two regions of fundamental functional importance: the anti-codon, which is responsible for specific mRNA codon recognition, and the 3' end, to which the tRNAs corresponding amino acid is attached (by aminoacyl-tRNA synthetases). tRNAs cope with the degeneracy of the genetic code in two manners: having more than one tRNA (with a specific anti-codon) for a particular amino acid; and 'wobble' base-pairing, i.e. permitting non-standard base-pairing at the 3rd anti-codon position. The record is from RNAcentral. Lineage: Bacteria; Bacillati; Actinomycetota; Actinomycetes; Bifidobacteriales; Bifidobacteriaceae.